GCAACCCAGCCUACUCUGGCUGAGCAGCCUACUCCCGUGGCCCAGCCUGCUCCUGCGGCCCAGCCUACUUUCGUGGCCUUCCAAGCAGCCCAAAUCGGUCCAAGAUUAGUUCAACCGUCCCGGCUCUAAAUUUUCAGACCAACGAUCGAACCGGGACCAUUUUCACCACAUUUUUUUACGGAUUUGACAUUUUCUAACUUAAAUCUUAGUCGCGGAGUCUACCACACUUCCACUGCUCAAGGAGAUCCAUUCCUUCCAAACUCUUCCAACACAAAUAGAGAACAACACUUGUCUCGACAAGUCAUAAAGUUGACGAGUGCCCUCGCACAGCAGACGACCUUGGUGAACUAGCCCGAGAUACAACGUACCCCAGAUGAGGUGUCGCGAAGUAAGACAAGGGCAGACGAAGAACCUUUUCAGCAGUGUCCCGACAAGCAGCUACUCAACUGACCACGUACCGAGCGUUCAGGCAGUGUACUUCUGACUGGGUCCUCGAGAUAGUGUAUACUCCCGUCUUAGCGUGUUAAGGAGUGGGCACUCUUGACUAGGCCCACGGACGAGCAUACAUUCACGGUUAGGGUCACACUCUGAUGGUUAACAUGAGUAACCUUCCAGGCAAAGUGUUCAUUUACAUCUAAGCCUACAAGGAACAGUAGAGAGUUUUUUGACUAAGCGAUUGCGCCAUUUCCAACGCAAUGAGGUCACCAACGAAGCACUAUGAUAGGACAUAAGCUGGUCACCAUUCACGGAGGAGAUUGAGCAGGCAGUGCAGCUUUCCAAAAAGGACUUCCAGCAGACCACCCGUUGAUUUAGAAAAUUGAUCAUGAAAAAAGAUCUAACUCUGGCAGACUCUUUCGCUCUGACAGACAAGCAUGCACUUUAGGACAAGGCUCGCCGAUAAAGAUGCAAGGACUUGAAAAAGAACUUGACAUCACCUUACUACUAUCCAAACCGGAAGCAGCAGAUGACCUACUUGCAUGUUUGACGGUAUCGGAAGUAGCAAUAAGCUCAACCAUCAUAUAAGAAGAGAUGAAGGCAUGACUACUUGUAUUUCAUAGUUCAAAAGCUCUAUUCGAUGCUACCAGAAAUUCAAAAGCUAACUUUGGCGAUAGUUGUUGCAAUCCGAAAUCUUAAGUUUUACCUUCAAACGAACGCAACAACUCGACCCAAAGGUGCAUAAAGGGUAGACGAACACUAGAAGGACACACUCGAAAUCAAGUUUUGUCUUCGUCGCCCCAAAAGAUUCUACAUAGGAGCAGCAUGUAUCGACAAUCGAACACCACCUCCUGCUACAUGUCAAACGGCCCUAGUCGACCCUUGUUCCAUAAUUCAACUCUAGAGUGGCCCAAUACCGGUAGUUGAGCAUCUUCUACUGCAUGUAGCAUGGCCUCAGCUCCACGACUCCCUAUUGCGCCUUCACGCUUAGCCUAGGUGACACAAUAAAGUGGCUUAACGACGCCCCAAAGGUAGCUGAG
Molecule: long non-coding RNA, 1475 nt
Filed under: Malus domestica (apple)
Lineage: Eukaryota; Viridiplantae; Streptophyta; Magnoliopsida; Rosales; Rosaceae
Description: long non-coding RNA (MDOM_LNC004585)
Source: RNAcentral